RNAcentral lists this ribosomal RNA (489 nucleotides) under uncultured bacterium. RNAcentral describes it as "partial 16S ribosomal RNA". It matches the Rfam family "Bacterial small subunit ribosomal RNA", at positions 30 to 507 of the family's 1533-position model. The record is from RNAcentral.
UUGAACGCUGGCGGCAGGCCUAACACAUGCAGGUCGAACGGUAACAGGAAGAAGCUUGCUUCUUUGCUGACGAGUGGCGGACGGGUGAGUAAUGUCUGGGAAACUGCCUGAUGGAGGGGGAUAACUACUGGAAACGGUAGCUAAUACCGCAUAACGUCGCAAGACCAAAGAGGGGGACCUUCGGGCCUCUUGCCAUCGGAUGUGCCCAGAUGGGAUUAGCUAGUAGGUUGGGUAACGGCUCACCUAGGCGACGAUCCCUAGCUGGUCUGAGAGGAUGACCAGCCACACGGGAACUGAGGCACGGUCCAGACUCCUACGGGAGGCAGCAGUGGGGAAUAUUGCACAAUGGGCGCAAGCCUGAUGCAGCCAUGCCGAGUGUAUGAAGAAGGCCUUCGGGUUGUAAAGUACUUUCAGCGGGGAGGAAGGGAGUAAAGUUAAUACCUUUGCGCAUUGACGUUACCCGCAGAAGAAGCACCGGCUAACUCCGUG